RNAcentral lists this long non-coding RNA (482 nucleotides) under Oryzias javanicus (javanese ricefish). Its description in RNAcentral is "lncRNA (ENSOJAG00000021929.1)". The record is from RNAcentral. Lineage: Eukaryota; Metazoa; Chordata; Actinopteri; Beloniformes; Adrianichthyidae.
AUGUCCUGCAGCACAGUCCGGGCGAGCGGAGAGAAGACAGCGGAGCUGCAGACAGGCAGCGGGGCUGCACGCGCGGCGCGGCGCGGCGUGGCGCUGCGCCCGGACCAGAGGCGCGGCUGUCGGCUGGAGAGCGCGCGGACUACCGGAGCUAUGGAGCGCAGCUGUGCGCGGAUGGGAGCCGGCGCCGGGAGCGCUAAACCCAGACUGACCAACGCCGCCUGUUCGGAUGAAGAGAAAGUCGGAUAUAGAGGAGUUAGGGACGAGCAUCCUGUUUAGAAUUUCUGCCGAGGAAGACGAGAAGAGGACAACUCCCAAAACUGGCAUGCCCACGCGGAUGGCCCCGUGAUGCCAAACUUUGUUGCCAGUUUCCUAAAAAGUGGGGAAGAUUUUUCCAACAAAAUACUCAACAGCAGGUAUAGCCUGUCUCCUCUUCACUCAAAAAAAGGAAAUAACCAAACAUUAAACUCUACAAAAAUGUAACU